Molecule: long non-coding RNA, 3350 nt
Organism: Rattus norvegicus (Norway rat)
Lineage: Eukaryota; Metazoa; Chordata; Mammalia; Rodentia; Muridae
Source: RefSeq, a predicted model, not a curated record
AGCAGUAGGGUCCUGUGUCCUGUGCCACCAGAGGGGUCUUUGAGAAGGAGCUGGAUCAGGUUUCAUUGUCAAGGCCACUUAAUAUCUUGGGGUAACUGGGAGUGCUCCCUCCUAAAGUGGGAGUGCUCCCUCCUAAACCAGAAACAUCUGCCAAAUCCCCUGCUCAAUCCCCAGCUGCAAUGGAGCUGAAAAUCAAAGGGCUGGGAACUGUAUGUGGAAGAAACACCAUGAACUGAAAGACAGGCAAGGCGCAUGGAAUCCCUGGGCUCCUCCCCAAGAUGGACGCUCUCAGGAGGUGUGACUGUCACGAGAACUUUUGGUCUUCACUUACCACACUGUGGAAAUCGUUAGCACUUAGUACUCGUUUUCUGCCGUGAGCAGGGCACACACACACACACCCUUUCUGCUAACUUUACAAUGGCCUGUUUUUGUUUUUAAAGAACUUCUUUAAUGUUAAUCAUUUAAACUCUAAUUUAAAAUUAUUUUUAAUGAUCUUGAGCACGCGUGUAUCUGUGUGUGGGUAUGUCCGUGUGGGUGCAGAUGCCUGUGGAACCCAGUCCUGGUCAUCUGAUGCCUCUGAUCUAGAAUUACAGGUGAUGUGAGCAAUCUGAUACGGCAGCUGGGAAUGCAGCUCCGGGCUUCUGCUCCAGCAUCCUCUUAACCUGACCACUGAGUAAUUUCUCCAGCCCCACAGUGACCCAUUCUUUUGAUGGCGAUGUGGAGAUUCUGAGAGAUUAAAUGUGACACAGCUGAUAAAUGCCUGAACCUGGGUGUCUUCAGAACCCAGCACUUAGCCUGCUCCUGGUGUCUCCACCCACGGUGACAGGGGCUUGAUAAGCAUUGACUAGGAAGAGAGGAGAGCGGGAGUUGUGCACAGCAAGGCUGUCAAUAUCCUUCUCUGGUCUCUCCCAGGACUUGCCUGAGGGAGCUCCAGAACCUUCCAGGCCUCUCAUGUCCUCUUUUUCUAGCCUUCAAAGUCAGAGACACAAUAAUCUUGUUCCCAACUUGAAAUUUUUCCAUUGCCUCUGCUGCCUUUGAGCUUGUCCUGGGAGUCUUUUCCUGAUGCGUCCCUUCCUCCAUCUCCAUUCUUCAAUUUCUACAUCCCUUCAUCCCUCCAUCCCUUUAUCCCUUCCCAUGGCUUUUGACUCUAGGCAAAGCACUCCCCAAAACCUGAGAGGAGGGGAGGGAAGGAGAGAAGAGAGAGAGAGAGAGAGAGAGAGAGAGAGAGACAGAGACAGAGAGAGACAGAGAGAGACAGAGAGAGAGACAGAGAGAGAGAGACAGAGACAGAGACAGAGACAGACAGAGACAGACAGGGACAGAGAGACAGAAACACAAACACACAGAGAGACAGAGACAGAGAGAGAGACAGAGACAGACAGAGACAGAGACAGACAGAGACAGACAGAGACAGACAGAGACAGACAGAGACAGACAGAGACAGACAGGGACAGAGAGACAGAAACACAAACACACAGAGAGACAGAGACAGAGAGACAGACCAACAGACAGACAGACACAGGGAUAGAUAGAUAGAUAGAUAGAUAGAUAGAUAGACAGACAGACAGACAGACAGAAAGAUAGAAAUCCAAAGAUGACUUGAGAGCAGAAAAAGGAGAUUUAAAAACAGGUUGAUAAACCUAAUGGUAUUGUGGAGUUUUUGUUUGGAUAAAUAUUUGGUUCCAUUUUAUUGUUGAGUAGUAUUCCAUAGGAUAGGUAUACAAUUUAUUAAACCAUCUGCCUAUUAGAAAAUAUUUUGACUAUUUUCAGUUUGGAUUACCCCCACCCUCCCACAGUACUUUAGCACGGGCAUCCCCACUUCCUUCUGAUAAGUAUAGUCAUAUAUUUCUUUAAUGUUUUCUCUCAUUGUGCCCCUAUCAUUAAUCACUAUAUUGAUUUGUUUUGCUAUGCAGUACUGAGGAUUAAACCCAAGGCUGGGCACAUGCUAGGUCAGGACACACACCCUUGCUUACUGUUAUAGUUAAAGUGAGUUUCUUGUAGGCCAUAUACAGUUGGAUCAGUUUAAUUUGUAACCCACUUUGCAAAUCCGUGUCGAUUAGUGAAUGUAUUUAGGCCAUUUACAUUUAAUGUAAUUGGUUUGGUAGGGUUUACCUUCAUUUAAAUUUUUGCUUUCUAUUUAGUCUCUGUAUAUAUUUUCUGGUUUUUUUUUCCCUUUUUGCCCUCUCAUGGGUUACUUGAACAUUACUAGAAUUCUGUUUUGGUGUCUGUAAAGUGUAAUUGAGUGCAUCUCUUUGUAUAGCUUUAAACUUUCUUUCUAGGUAUUACUUUGUAUAUGCAUAACUUGUUGUCUGUUGUUGUUGCCAUUUUACCAGUAUGAGUGAGGUGUAGAAGCUACCUCCUUUGAGGCCUCUUUCCUUCUUAAUUGAAAAUCACAAGUAUCCUAAAUGUUCUGUACUGAGAACAACAUCAGACAAUGCUAUGCCUUUUGCUUUCGUUAUCAAUUUUAACCUAGAAAACUCAUGAAAAAAAAGUGCCCAUAAUGCAGGUCUAUAUUUCUGAUUUUUAGGCUCUUCCUUCCUCAUGUUCCAAGAUUGUUUUGUCUUCUUAUUAGUCAAAGAACUCUCUUCUCAUUCUCCUAUUUUUCCUUUUGCCUGAUAAUGCCUUUUCAAGCAGUGACACUGAAGAUGGAAGCCAGGGCUUUGCGUAUGUCAGGCAAGUACUCUAGCAGUGAACUGUGCCCCAAGUCUGUCUGAUAAUGUCUUGACGUUUUCAUGAUUUCCAAAGUAUAAUUUCACUAGACAUAGAAUCUAGAGCUGACAGCCUCCCAUUCCCAGCAUUUGAAAAUGCCGUGAAAUGUUCAUCUGGGCUCUGUGUUUCCUGACGAACCACGGUCAUCUGGGCUCUUUUCUCCCAUUUAUUUAAUCUUUUUGCUUUUAGUAUCGUCCCUCCUUCUCUCCCUCCCUUCUUCCAUUUUUUUCAGGGCUAAGGAUCAAACCCAGGACCUGGAUCACACUAGGAUGGUGCUCCACACACUCAGAGCUCAGCAUCUGAUUGUCUCUGAUUUACUGAAGUUUGAUUUGUGCUUCUGGACUGGUCAUGGCCAUUGUCCUCAUGAACUCCUGGCAGCCAUGGUGACCUUCACAAGACCCUUACAAAAUCAAGCCAACAAGAGCAACCAACAUUUCAUCAGACUGCACUCUGUCUGUUAAAAACAAAGAAAAAAAAGACUGUGGAUGUGGGGGAGGAACACGGUGUGUGUGUGUGUGUGUGUGUGUGUGUGUGUGUGUGUGUGUGUGUAGUUGGGGAGGGUGCUAGGGUGCAUAUGAUCAAGAUACAGCAUGUACACAUGUAAAUGUGUUGAAGAAUGAAUAAAAGAUAUUCUAAAUAUU